This is a long non-coding RNA of Lolium perenne, 1232 nucleotides long. RefSeq lists it as uncharacterized. Lineage: Eukaryota; Viridiplantae; Streptophyta; Magnoliopsida; Poales; Poaceae. The record is from RefSeq and is a predicted model, not a curated record.
UCGUCCCCCCUGGGCGCAAGCCCGGCGUUGCAGGCUCCAUCCUCCCCAAUCCCCUGCCUCUCUUCAUCUCCUAGAUCCCACACGCCGUUGCAGCCAGGCGUCCCCAUGCCUCCAUCCGCUCCGCGCCCUCCCCUGCGCCUCCUCCUCCCUCCCCGGUGCUCAGCCUCCCCGGGUAUGAGGUGAGAGGAGCACGAGCCAGCACCAAAACGCAUCGGAGGGUGCCUUGAAAGAUUUUUUUCUGGUUCGAUUUGUUUUCCUGUUUAGAUUUGCUAUUCCGGUUGGAUUUUCUCCUGCCUCCUCUUUUUCGGGUUCGAUUUGCGGUUUGAUUUGCUUUGCUUUCCUCUUCCUCGGGUUCGGUUUGCUUUUCUUUCGCCUUCGUCUUUUUUUCCACGGUAGAGAAGGUGGCACGGCUGCGGGGCCGGGCAUGGAGGCUGCGGCGGCGUAGGGGUGCGGCGGCGGUGGUGGAACAGGGCGCGGGAUCGCGGAGGAGCAGCGGCGGCGGCGAGCGGUGGUGGGUGGCUGCUGCGCAAGUGGCUGCUGUGCAGCCUGCACUCCGCCCCCCUCAUGGACUCAGGUAGGAGGCGCAGUUGAAAGGGCACAACCAAGGAGCAUUUCUAGGCUCUGAUUCGUUGGGGGAGGCGGCCAGCCACGUCCCACACUGCUGGAUCCGGUCAGAUCAUUUGGCAACUCCAUCAUUGUAGUUAAAUGUGUUCCACAAAAUAGGUUGUUUUAUGUGAAAUUAUGCAUUUACCAAUAAACGUCUGGUGAUUUGCUGCUGCCUAUGAGGGAGAUGGAAAACGGAAGAAGAAAAGGUGAAGGAAAUGGAAGAUGCGCCCCCAGCUCCAACAAAGGAUUAAACCACAAUCAGUCGGCAAUAAUAAGCUGGAGUGACUAAAAGUAUGUUGCAUCUUCCUGUCAAAAAAGAAACAAAGGUUCAUGGAGGAUACCUUGCGGAUCUACUGACCAGUAAGGUAAGGGGUAAAAGCCAAACCUCUCAUGUCUGGUCAUCUUUUAGGCACGUGCUUUGUUUGCAUACUUCUGGUUGCCAAAGUUCCUCCUCUGAAAGCAAUUCAGAAUAGAAUCACUUAUGCAUCUAGGUUCACUGAAGAGACAGGUAAACCAAAGCAAAGAAUUGUUUUAUGAGAUAUUGUUAGAAGAUGAAGCUGCAUAUUACUAGUUUUGAAGUUUAGUUCGUAGCCUGAAAUGAGUACCAGAAAUGCAUUAUUAUGAGA